CACUGACGCUGAGGUGCGAAAGCAUGGGGAGCAAAUUGGAUUAAAUACCCUGGUAGUCCAUGCCGUAAACGAUGUCUACUAGCCGUUGGGGGACUUGAUCCUUUAGUGGCGCAGCCAACGCAUUAAGUAGACCGCCUGGGGAGUACGGUCGCAAGACUAAAACUCAAAUGAAUUGACGGGGGCCCGCACAAGCGGUGGAGCAUGUGGUUUAAUUCGAUGCAACGCGAAGAACCUUACCUGGCCUUGACAUGUCUGGAAUCCUGUAGAGAUACGGGAGUGCCUUCGGGAAUCAGAACACAGGUGCUGCAUGGCUGUCGUCAGCUCGUGUCGUGAGAUGUUGGGUUAAGUCCCGCAACGAGCGCAACCCUUGUCCUUAGUUGCCAGCACGUAAUGGUGGGAACUCUAGGGAGACUGCC
This 416-nucleotide ribosomal RNA is filed under the name uncultured Perlucidibaca sp. Its description in RNAcentral is "bacterial SSU rRNA". It matches the Rfam family "Bacterial small subunit ribosomal RNA", at positions 738 to 1153 of the family's 1533-position model. The record is from RNAcentral. Lineage: Bacteria; Pseudomonadati; Pseudomonadota; Gammaproteobacteria; Pseudomonadales; Perlucidibacaceae.